UAAAUGAGUUACAUUCAUCUGACGA
This 25-nucleotide non-coding RNA is filed under the name Mus musculus (house mouse). Lineage: Eukaryota; Metazoa; Chordata; Mammalia; Rodentia; Muridae. The record is from RNAcentral.